ACACACGGUUCUCCCUUCGUUCUGUCAAUGUUUCAACCCGAAUAUAGUGUAUCUAUGACCAUCAUAAAAUGAAAAUAUAUUAAAAUUUUCCUAAUUUUGUGCAAUCUGUCUCGUCUCUAAUGUGACUAAAACUUACAAAAAUAAAGGAACAAGUAGACUCAUUUCUUUAGUUUGUUGAAAUGUCGGAUUAAGUCUUGCCUUGCCAGUUAAAAAACGAAAGCAUUGUUCAUAAUCACGGGAUUUUUCGUCGCUUUCUGCUACCGUUUUUUUUUCUUUCGUCUCUCGUUCAUCAAAAUAUAUGUGUGGAAUAAACAACGAAAUUCUAUUUCCAAAUGUAGACAUUUUUUGUGUGUGCUUUUUACUGUGAAGUGUGUGCUUUUGUGAUUAAAUGAAAGAAAAAAGGAAAAAUUUGUGAAAAUUUAUUGAUGCAUUUUCCCAGACGGAUGUGGUCGUUAAAUUGUUUCACUGUAAAAAUCGUACAAUUUUAAUGAAAAACCAAACGACGAAUAACUCGUUAAAUUGUCUUGGAAAUAUAUCAUACUCAUUAUAUGGAUAAAAAUUUGUUCAUUGUUCAUGUGUGGUGGGUGUAAUAUAAAAUUGGAUUUCUUGGGCACCUAAUAUACAACUGAAACUUUAUGAAAGUUAAGUGCGGAAAACGAAGCGAAAAAGGAAAAGCUUGAAGAGAACAAAAGCCGGAAAAACGUAAAUAUCAAGAACGCUAAAUAAAUACUCUUUGACUUAACAUAUAUUACAUGUAUAUAGAUGUGUAUGUGUUUGUAUAGUAUAAAAUAUCCUAUAAUGCCGUGUUGUUGCUGCGCAUAUAAGUACAUAUAAACCAUGAUUAGAUUGUGUUUGCAGAAAUAAUAAUGCUCUAAGGUGGCACAUAUUAUUCAAAAUGCUCAGAAAUUAUUCAACAAAAGAUUGUUGGAGUGCAUCACUAUUGUCGGCUGUUAUUGUGAAUGACGAACGAACCAUCCAAGUGUACUCAUAAAUUCAAAAAGAGCAAUGCAAUCCAAUCGUUCCUUUUUCAUGUCCUAACAACAUUUUCAUUCCUAACAAUCUUUUUUCCGAAGCAUCAAACCAUUUCACACUGUCAGACACUCACUCUCGUUAUAUAUAUAUAUUUGUAUACGGAAUCAUAAGAGUUAUAUUGUUUAAAUUGAAAGAAAGAGAGAGAGAGAAAAAACAUAUAAAAACCCAUACAUAAAAGUUGUAACAAAAAUACGCUUAAGUAUAAGGAAACUAAUAAGAAUUUAUUAUUUUUAUUGAGUUAAGUAGAGUCAAUAAGAAGAAGAAGAAG
Bradysia coprophila is the source of this 1300-nucleotide long non-coding RNA. Lineage: Eukaryota; Metazoa; Arthropoda; Insecta; Diptera; Sciaridae. The record is from RefSeq and is a predicted model, not a curated record.